This 253-nucleotide ribosomal RNA is filed under the name uncultured bacterium. RNAcentral's name for it is "partial 16S ribosomal RNA". It matches the Rfam family "Bacterial small subunit ribosomal RNA", at positions 524 to 776 of the family's 1533-position model. The record is from RNAcentral.
GACAGAGGGUGCAAACGUUGUUCGGAAUUACUGGGCGUAAAGCGUGUGUAGGCGGUCCACUAAGUCGGGUGUGAAAGCCCUGGGCUCAACCCAGGAAGUGCACUCGAAACUGGCGGGCUAGAGUAUCGGAGAGGUUGGUGGAAUUCUCGGUGUAGAGGUGAAAUUCGUAGAUAUCGAGAGGAACACCAGUGGCGAAGGCGGCCAACUGGACGAAUACUGACGCUGAGACACGAAAGCGUGGGGAGCAAACAGG